This 622-nucleotide small RNA is filed under the name Pongo abelii (Sumatran orangutan). Its description in RNAcentral is "processed transcript". Lineage: Eukaryota; Metazoa; Chordata; Mammalia; Primates; Hominidae. The record is from RNAcentral.
CGCGGACCCUGAGCGCCAGAGCCCAGCCGCCACCGCCGCGAUGUGGGCCGCGCUGCCGCUGCUCUGCGCCGGGGCCUGCCUCCUGGGAUCCCCCGUCUGCGGCGCCGCCGAACUGUCCGUGAACUCUUUAGGUACGCAGAGGGGGCGCCGCCCGAGAGGGGGCUAGCAGGCCCUAGAGUGGACGCUGGGAGAACUUGGCCAGGGGCGCACUGGGCUCCGGAGGAACGGGGCAGAGCUUUCCCCGGUAAGAGGCCAGGAACUCUGCGUGCUGGCACGGGGAGGGGUAAACUGCAUUAUAGGCGGGGGGUCUCAGAGGGUGGGCGGCUUGUAGGACCAGAGGAGCAGAUGGGCUGAGUGUCCAGGGUCCCACUUAGCCAGGUGGCUCUCCAGCCUAGAAUACCAAAGGAGCCCGCAGCUCCUUCCGCCUUCCCCAACUGGGGACACAGAGUGUCACACAGAGGACUCUGAUCUGUCCCUGCCAGAGAAAAGUUUCACUUCAAGUCAUGGAUGUCUAAGCACCGUAAGACCUACAGCACGGACGAGUACCACCACAGGCUGCAGACGUUUGCCAGCAACUGGAGGAAGAUAAAUGCCCACAACAAUGGGAACCACACAUUUAAAA